Molecule: long non-coding RNA, 1207 nt
Filed under: Equus asinus (donkey)
Lineage: Eukaryota; Metazoa; Chordata; Mammalia; Perissodactyla; Equidae
Description: lncRNA (ENSEASG00005032675.1)
Source: RNAcentral
AAGUCGGGGCGGUCCCUCAGCCACCUGACCAAGAGCUGAGCAGCUCCCCCGGGGCCUGUCGCCCGGUCCCAGCCCAGGGCCCAGACAACAGGGCUCCUCAGGGGAUUCCUGUUUGCUCUCCAAUCGUAGGCGCUCCUGCCUGUGGUUAAACGGGGUACAUCCUUUCUUUUGACCCUGAGAAACCUGACCAGCUGGACGGCACGGAUUCCUGACAUUUUUAUGAGCAUUUUUCCUUUCCUUCGCUCCCUCCACCAGGAAUGCCAGACUGCCCCGUCUCCACCUGCUGAUAAUGUUUAAGGCGCGUCCCAGUGCCACCCCUACAAGGAGCCUUUCUUCAUGCAGCCCUACCAAGCAGACGUGACCUCCCUCUCCUCUGAACGUGGAACGCUUGGAGCACCUUCCGCGUGGCUCUCGCGUCUGCCCUGUAUGGUGGUUAUGUGUAUAUUCCCCUCUGUAGGCUCCUGGAAACAGGGCUUGUGUCCAGACUUCACUCCCGGAGUCACCCAGUGCUGCGCCUGACACUAGGAGACAUCUGAUAUUUGUGUGGAAUGUAUCUUUGUGCGUCCAGAAUUACCUUGCUUACCUUCCCAGAAUGGCAUGUGGGUUACAUGACCAGCCAGGAGGUCACCACCACCUCCGAGAAUCUGGAAACAGGCAAACAAGAUUUCCCUUGGAGAUCAAGGUUGCCAGAUUCAGCAAAUCAAAAGACAAGCUUCCCAGUUAAUUAGAAUUUCAGAUAAAUAAGGAAUAAUUUUUUAGUGUAAGUAUGUCCCACGCAAGAUGUAGGACAUGCUUAGACUGAAAAAAUAUUCAUUGUUUAUCUGAAAUUCAGAUGUAUUGUAUCUGGGAACCCUACUUGGAGAGCUAAAGUAUCAAACUGACACACAUGGAGUACAAGGAAGAAAUGUCAUCACCCUAAGAGGUCAGCACGGGUCCUUCAGCAAGACAGGAUUGUAAUUGGAGGAUAUAAGAAAAGUAUAUUUACAAAAACACUUUGAACCGGGGCUGGCCCCGUGGCCGAAUGGUUAAGUUCGCACGCUCCGCUGCAGGCGGCCCAGUGUUUCGUUAGUUCGAAUCCUGGGCACGGACAUGGCACUGCUCAUCAGACCACGCUGAGGCAGCGUCCCACAUGCCACAACUAGAAGAACCCACAAUGAAGAAUGCACAACUAUGUACCGGGGGGCUUUGGGGAGAAAAAGGAAAAAAU